Molecule: ribosomal RNA, 795 nt
Filed under: uncultured bacterium
Lineage: Bacteria
Description: bacterial SSU rRNA
Rfam family: Bacterial small subunit ribosomal RNA
Source: RNAcentral
AGAGUUUGAUCAUGGCUCAGAUUGAACGCUGGCGGCAUGCUUUACACAUGCAAGUCGAGCGGCAGCGCGGGGGCAACCCUGGCGGCGAGCGGCGAACGGGUGAGGAAUACAUCGGAACGUACCCCGGAGUGGGGGAUAACGCCGCGAAAGCGGCGCUAAUACCGCAUAUGCUCUGUGGAGGAAAGUGGGGGAUUCGCAAGGACCUCACGCUCUGGGCGCGGCCGAUGUCCGAUUAGCUAGUUGGUGAGGUAAUGGCUCACCAAGGCGACGAUCGGUAGCUGGUCUGAGAGGAUGAUCAGCCACACUGGGACUGAGACACGGCCCAGACUCCUACGGGAGGCAGCAGUGGGGAAUUUUGGACAAUGGGGGCAACCCUGAUCCAGCCAUGCCGCGUGCGGGAAGAAGGCCUUCGGGUUGUAAACCGCUUUUAGUCGGGAAGAAAAGGUUAUCCCUAAUAAGGAUGACUCUUGACGGUACCGGCGGAAUAAGCACCGGCUAACUACGUGCCAGCAGCCGCGGUAAUACGUAGGGUGCGAGCGUUAAUCGGAAUUACUGGGCGUAAAGCGUGCGUAGGCGGUUCGUUAAGUUCGUUGUGAAAGCCCCGGGCUCAACCUGGGAAUGGCAAUGGAAACUGGCGGGCUUGAGUAUGGCAGAGGGGGGUGGAAUUCCGCGUGUAGCAGUGAAAUGCGUAGAGAUGCGGAGGAACACCGAUGGCGAAGGCAGCCCCCUGGGCCAAUACUGACGCUCAGGCACGAAAGCGUGGGGAGCAAACAGGAUUAGAUACCCUAGUAGUCC